CAUAAAAUUACAUUUUAUUGGAAGAUUGAAUCAACCUUGAUGAUCCUAGUGGCUGAUCUAGAAAAAAAAAAAGUUGAGUCAACAUAUAUAUAUAUUUUUUUUCUAGGGUUAAUUUUUUUUUAAUAAAAAAAGGGAUCAAUUGAUGUCUCAUUUGUAAGAAUAUACAUCUGUUAAAAAAGUUUAAUAAUUAAAUUUAUGAUGAUUCAAUUUAUGUUUUUUUAAUACAUUCAGCAACGCAUGAGUCUUUUAGAGAGAGAGAAACCUCUCACGAGUUUUCUUUGGUUUCUCCAUUUUCUCGGUUUAGCUCAGCUAGGCGUCUCUUCAGUGGGUGAGGUUCCCUCUCAUCCUUGGUCUGUAAUGUAUAGUUUGGUUAGUUGUGUAUAUCCUGGUUUGUUGUGGAUAUCUGCAAGAGGAAGGGGUGAUUCUGAAGUUGUGUUUGAUUUUGGUGCUUCCUGGGUUUCGUAGUGGUCCCCUGCUGGAUGAUUUUCUGUUGGCUUAUUGAGAGGUUCUUCAAAAGGUUGCUCACGGAUGGUAGAGCUAGCCUUAAUGUGUGGUUGUGGCUUUCCACAGCCAGAUGAGACUAACAGUACUGUGGCUCUGCAUUUUCUUCUCUCCUAUGGUGUCGGUAUUAGCUCAUGGUGCUUGAUCUGGAAGAGUUGGUCUACUUGUUUGGCUGUGGCGGUUUCUUCCCUGCUUUUGCUUGCUUUGAGCCAUCUUGCUUAUCUUUGGAGGAAGGUCUCCCUGUAAUGGUGUCUGGUGGGCAACUCUUGCUUAGUCUUAGUUAGCUGAAGCACUGUGAUGGAAGAAGCCCUAGAUUUAGUUGCUUCAGCGAGGAUUGUUAACUAGGGGUUGAGCUUGUUUGGUUGGGCUUGAUUCGUUGGGUAGGGGUUUGAUUUUAGAAUUCAAGCAUUAGGCGUUAAUUUGUUAUGACGUUGUAUCUACACUGUCAUUGUUUUGCCCAGUGAGCUUUGCGACAAUUUAAAUUUGC
RNAcentral lists this unclassified non-coding RNA (988 nucleotides) under Hevea brasiliensis (rubber tree). Lineage: Eukaryota; Viridiplantae; Streptophyta; Magnoliopsida; Malpighiales; Euphorbiaceae. The record is from RNAcentral.